RNAcentral lists this ribosomal RNA (478 nucleotides) under uncultured bacterium. RNAcentral describes it as "partial 16S ribosomal RNA". It matches the Rfam family "Bacterial small subunit ribosomal RNA", at positions 28 to 523 of the family's 1533-position model. The record is from RNAcentral.
GACGAACGCUGGCGGCGUGCCUAACACAUGCAAGUCGAGCGGAGAAAGUUCUUCGGAACUUUCUCAGCGGCGGACGGGUGAGUAACACGUGGGUAACCUGCCUUAUAGAGGGGGAUAGCCUCCCGAAAGGAAGAUUAAUACCGCAUAACAUUUUCGUUUCGCAUGAAAUGAAAAUCAAAGGAGCAAUCCGCUAUAAGAUGGACCCGCGGCGCAUUAGCUAGUUGGUGAGGUAAUGGCUCACCAAGGCGACGAUGCGUAGCGGACCUGAGAGGGUGAUCGGCCACAUUGGAACUGGGAUACGGUCCAGACUCCUACGGGAGGCAGCAGUGGGGAAGAUUGCACACUGGGGGAAACCCUGAUGCAGCAACGCCGCGUGAGUGAUGAAGGCCUUAGGGUUGUAAAGCUCUGUCUUUGGGGACGAUAAUGACGGUACCCAAGGAGGAAGCCACGGCUAACUACUUGCCAGCCGCCGCAGUAA